This 467-nucleotide ribosomal RNA is filed under the name uncultured bacterium. Its description in RNAcentral is "partial 16S ribosomal RNA". It matches the Rfam family "Bacterial small subunit ribosomal RNA", at positions 28 to 523 of the family's 1533-position model. The record is from RNAcentral.
GAUGAAUGCUGGCGGCGUGCCUAACACAUGCAAGUCGAGCGGCAGCGCGAGUAGUUUACUACUUGGCGGCGAGCGGCGGACGGCUGAGUAACGCGUGGGAACGUGCCCCAAAGUGAGGAAUAACUGCCCGAAAGGGUGGCUAAUGCCGCAUAUGAUCUUCGGAUUAAAGUCUUCGGACGCUUUGGGAGCGGCCCGCGUCGGAUUAGGGUGUUGGUGAGGUAAUGGCUCACCAAGCCGACGAUCCGUAGCUGGUCUGAGAGGAUGAUCAGCCAGACUGGGACUGAGACACGGCCCAGACUCCUACGGGAGGCAGCAGUGAGGAAUCUUCCACAAUGGGCGAAAGCCUGAUGGAGCAACGCCGCGUGCAGGAUGAAUGCCUUCGGGUUGUAAACUGCUUUUAUAAGUGAAGAAUAUGACGGUAACUUAUGAAUAAGCACCGGCUAACUACGUGCCAGCAGCCGCAGUAA